AUGAAGGCCCAGGCAGACAAGCGGCGAUUACCUGGUACCUUCAAGGUGGGCGAUUUGGUUUACCUCAAGCUCCAACCAUACAUUCAAACCUCCAUCGCCCGGCGAGCCAACCAUAAGCUGGCGUUCAAGUACUAUGGACCAUACCAAGUCAUCGCCAAGAUCAAUGAUGUUGCAUACAAGCUGGAACUCCCUCCAUACUCACAAGUUCACUCGGUCUUCCACGUGUCUCAGCUGCGCCACUGUCUUCGACCGGGUACGCCGCCCAACCCAACCAUUCCACGCCAUACUGAUGCACCUGUCGUGCCAGUUGUAGUCCUUCAGCAUCGUUGGCGCAAGAAGAACGAUGCCAUGAUCGAGCAAGUCCGCGUCCGCUGGUCCGACGAGUCGGCCUUCAGUGACACUUGGGAGGAUAAAGCAGCACUGCAAGCUCGAUUCCCAACAGCAAAGGCUUGGGGGCAAGCCUCGUCGCAAGGAGGAGGGGAUGUCAGCGCCCCAGCUCUACACGCAUCAACCAUGCACCUGACAAGGAGGACCCAACCGGCAGCGACCCAGUCGCUGCCCAGCGGCCCACCAGGGAGAAGAAGCCCAGAUCACUCAUCACCGGCCCACAGUGGAUGA
RNAcentral lists this ribosomal RNA (618 nucleotides) under Triticum aestivum (bread wheat). Its description in RNAcentral is "partial small subunit ribosomal RNA". The record is from RNAcentral. Lineage: Eukaryota; Viridiplantae; Streptophyta; Magnoliopsida; Poales; Poaceae.